This 584-nucleotide ribosomal RNA is filed under the name bacterium 4a82709. RNAcentral's name for it is "bacterial SSU rRNA". It matches the Rfam family "Bacterial small subunit ribosomal RNA", at positions 315 to 909 of the family's 1533-position model. The record is from RNAcentral.
GGGACUGAGACACGGCCCAGACUCCUACGGGAGGCAGCAGUGGGGAAUAUUGCACAAUGGGCGCAAGCCUGAUGCAGCGACGCCGCGUGAGGGAUGACGGCCUUCGGGUUGUAAACCUCUUUCGCCAGGGACGAAGCGCAAGUGACGGUACCUGGAUAAGAAGCACCGGCUAACUACGUGCCAGCAGCCGCGGUAAUACGUAGGGUGCGAGCGUUGUCCGGAAUUAUUGGGCGUAAAGAGCUCGUAGGCGGUUUGUCGCGUCGGCCGUGAAAUCUCCACGCUUAACGUGGAGCGUGCGGUCGAUACGGGCAGACUUGAGUUCGGCAGGGGAGACUGGAAUUCCUGGUGUAGCGGUGAAAUGCGCAGAUAUCAGGAGGAACACCGGUGGCGAAGGCGGGUCUCUGGGCCGAUACUGACGCUGAGGAGCGAAAGCGUGGGGAGCGAACAGGAUUAGAUACCCUGGUAGUCCACGCUGUAAACGUUGGGCGCUAGGUGUGGGCGACAUUCCACGUUGUCCGUGCCGYAGCUAACGCAUUAAGCGCCCCGCCUGGGGAGUACGGCCGCAAGGCUAAAACUCAAAGGAA